This 1435-nucleotide ribosomal RNA is filed under the name uncultured organism. RNAcentral's name for it is "SSU rRNA". It matches the Rfam family "Bacterial small subunit ribosomal RNA". The record is from RNAcentral.
CAGGCUUAACACAUGCAAGUCGAGGGGCAGCAUGGUCUUAGCUUGCUAAGGCCGAUGGCGACCGGCGCACGGGUGAGUAACACGUAUCCAACCUGCCGUCUACUCUUGGACAGCCUUCUGAAAGGAAGAUUAAUACAAGAUGGCAUCAUGAGUCCGCAUGUUCACAUGAUUAAAGGUAUUCCGGUAGACGAUGGGGAUGCGUUCCAUUAGAUAGUAGGCGGGGUAACGGCCCACCUAGUCUUCGAUGGAUAGGGGUUCUGAGAGGAAGGUCCCCCACAUUGGAACUGAGACACGGUCCAAACUCCUACGGGAGGCAGCAGUGAGGAAUAUUGGUCAAUGGGCGAGAGCCUGAACCAGCCAAGUAGCGUGAAGGAUGACUGCCCUAUGGGUUGUAAACUUCUUUUAUAAAGGAAUAAAGUCGGGUAUGGAUACCCGUUUGCAUGUACUUUAUGAAUAAGGAUCGGCUAACUCCGUGCCAGCAGCCGCGGUAAUACGGAGGAUCCGAGCGUUAUCCGGAUUUAUUGGGUUUAAAGGGAGCGUAGAUGGAUGUUUAAGUCAGUUGUGAAAGUUUGCGGCUCAACCGUAAAAUUGCAGUUGAUACUGGAUAUCUUGAGUGCAGUUGAGGCAGGCGGAAUUCGUGGUGUAGCGGUGAAAUGCUUAGAUAUCACGAAGAACUCCGAUUGCGAAGGCAGCCUGCUAAGCUGCAACUGACAUUGAGGCUCGAAAGUGUGGGUAUCAAACAGGAUUAGAUACCCUGGUAGUCCACACGGUAAACGAUGAAUACUCGCUGUUUGCGAUAUACUGCAAGCGGCCAAGCGAAAGCGUUAAGUAUUCCACCUGGGGAGUACGCCGGCAACGAUGAAACUCAAAGGAAUUGACGGGGGCCCGCACAAGCGGAGGAACAUGUGGUUUAAUUCGAUGAUACGCGAGGAACCUUACCCGGGCUUAAAUUGCAGAUGAAUUACGGUGAAAGCCGUAAGCCGCAAGGCAUCUGUGAAGGUGCUGCAUGGUUGUCGUCAGCUCGUGCCGUGAGGUGUCGGCUUAAGUGCCAUAACGAGCGCAACCCUUGUUGUCAGUUACUAACAGGUUCCGCUGAGGACUCUGACAAGACUGCCAUCGUAAGAUGUGAGGAAGGUGGGGAUGACGUCAAAUCAGCACGGCCCUUACGUCCGGGGCUACACACGUGUUACAAUGGGGGGUACAGAGGGCCGCUACCACGCGAGUGGAUGCCAAUCCCCAAAACCUCUCUCAGUUCGGACUGGAGUCUGCAACCCGACUCCACGAAGCUGGAUUCGCUAGUAAUCGCGCAUCAGCCACGGCGCGGUGAAUACGUUCCCGGGCCUUGUACACACCGCCCGUCAAGCCAUGGGAGCCGGGGGUACCUGAAGUGCGUAACCGCGAGGAGCGCCCUAGGGUAAAACUGGUGACUGGGGCU